This 775-nucleotide ribosomal RNA is filed under the name uncultured bacterium. RNAcentral's name for it is "bacterial SSU rRNA". It matches the Rfam family "Bacterial small subunit ribosomal RNA", at positions 28 to 776 of the family's 1533-position model. The record is from RNAcentral.
GACGAACGCUGGCGGCGUGCCUAAUACAUGCAAGUCGAACGCUUUGAUUUUCACCGGAGCUUGCUCCACCGAAAAUCAAAGAGUGGCGGACGGGUGAGUAACACGUGGGCAACCUGCCCAACAGAGGGGGAUAACACUUGGAAACAGGUGCUAAUACCGCAUAAUUUGUUUUCCCGCAUGGGAGAAUAAUAAAAGACGCUUCGGUGUCACUGUUGGAUGGGCCCGCGCUGCAUUAGUUAGUUGGUGGGGUAAUGGCCUACCAAGACCGUGAUGCAUAGCCGACCUGAGAGGGUGAUCGGCCACACUGGGACUGAGACACGGCCCAGACUCCUACGGGAGGCAGCAGUAGGGAAUCUUCGGCAAUGGACGAAAGUCUGACCGAGCAACGCCGCGUGAGUGAAGAAGGUUUUCGGAUCGUAAAACUCUGUUGUUAGAGAAGAACAAGUGGGAGAGUAACUGUUCCCACCUUGACGGUAUCUAACCAGAAAGCCACGGCUAACUACGUGCCAGCAGCCGCGGUAAUACGUAGGUGGCAAGCGUUGUCCGGAUUUAUUGGGCGUAAAGCGAGCGCAGGCGGUUUCUUAAGUCUGAUGUGAAAGCCCUCGGCUCAACCGAGGAAGGUCAUUGGAAACUGGGGAACUUGAAUGCAGAAGAGGAGAGUGGAAUUCCAUGUGUAGCGGCGAAAUGCGUAGAUAUAUGGAGGAACACCAGUGGCGAAGGCGACUCUCUGGUCUGUAAUUGACGCUGAGGCUCGAAAGCGUGGGGAGCAAACAGG